RNAcentral lists this ribosomal RNA (720 nucleotides) under uncultured bacterium. RNAcentral describes it as "bacterial SSU rRNA". It matches the Rfam family "Bacterial small subunit ribosomal RNA", at positions 97 to 813 of the family's 1533-position model. The record is from RNAcentral.
GGCGGACGGGUGAGUAAUGCCUAGGAAUCUGCCUGAUAGUGGGGGACAACGUUUCGAAAGGAACGCUAAUACCGCAUACGUCCUACGGGAGAAAGCAGGGGACCUUCGGGCCUUGCGCUAUCAGAUGAGCCUAGGUCGGAUUAGCUAGUUGGUGAGGUAACGGCUCACCAAGGCGACGAUCCGUAACUGGUCUGAGAGGAUGAUCAGUCACACUGGAACUGAGACACGGUCCAGACUCCUACGGGAGGCAGCAGUGGGGAAUAUUGGACAAUGGGCGAAAGCCUGAUCCAGCCAUGCCGCGUGUGUGAAGAAGGUCUUCGGAUUGUAAAGCACUUUAAGUUGGGAGGAAGGGCAUUAACCUAAUACGUUAGUGAUUGGACGUUACCGACAGAAUAAGCACCGGCUAACUUCGUGCCAGCAGCCGCGGUAAUACGAAGGGUGCAAGCGUUAAUCGGAAUUACUGGGCGUAAAGCGCGCGUAGGUGGUUAGUUAAGUUGAAUGUGAAAGCCCCGGGCUCAACCUGGGAACUGCAUCCAAAACUGGCAAGCUAGAGUAUGGCAGAGGGUGGUGGAAUUUCCUGUGUAGCGGUGCAAUGCGUAGAUAUAGGAAGGAACACCAGUGGCGAAGGCGACCACCUGGGCUAAUACUGACACUGAGGUGCGAAAGCGUGGGGAGCAAACAGGAUUAGAUAGCCUGGUAGUCCACGCCGUAAACGAUGUC